Molecule: long non-coding RNA, 461 nt
Filed under: Triticum aestivum (bread wheat)
Lineage: Eukaryota; Viridiplantae; Streptophyta; Magnoliopsida; Poales; Poaceae
Description: long non-coding RNA (TAES_LNC020236)
Source: RNAcentral
GUGGAAACUUCCCCUGAAUGGUUAUCAAAUAGGUUGCUAAAGCUAAAACGAUCCGCACGCGCAAGAUCCAACGACCCCCUCAUCAAAGAUGACCAAGAGGAAUACUAUCACAAGUUACAAAAUUGCUUUGUCAUACCUUGUAGCUUCGAGGAAUACUAUCACCGUCGCAUACCAAAAAUCAUUAUCGAAUCCGAGGUCCUUGGAGUAGCAUCCGAGGUCCUUGGAGUAGCCUCCGAGCAGGACGACGGUGGCCCAGGUGAAGGCCAGCGUGCCCAAGGCGUUGCCAACCCUCUCGAUUAGCGUGACGGAGCGAACGAAGCGAUUCAGCCACAUCUCCGGCGCAGCGGCGGCCUUGCCUGCUCGGCCGACGCCGUGAGCUGGUAUCCAGACGUGGUGCUCUCCGCUGCCGCCGCCGGUGCUGUUGGCCAUUGCUUGGACGGGUCGGCUGGCGCUCGGGAGCC